CUUGCUCCCUUAGGUCAGCGGCGGACGGGUGAGUAACACGUGGGUAACCUGCCUGUAAGACUGGGAUAACUCCGGGAAACCGGGGCUAAUACCGGAUGCUUGAUUGAACCGCAUGGUUCAAUCAUAAAAGGUGGCUUUUAGCUACCACUUACAGAUGGACCCGCGGCGCAUUAGCUAGUUGGUGAGGUAACGGCUCACCAAGGCGACGAUGCGUAGCCGACCUGAGAGGGUGAUCGGCCACACUGGGACUGAGACACGGCCCAGACUCCUACGGGAGGCAGCAGUAGGGAAUCUUCCGCAAUGGACGAAAGUCUGACGGAGCAACGCCGCGUGAGUGAUGAAGGUUUUCGGAUCGUAAAACUCUGUUGUUAGGGAAGAACAAGUACCGUUCGAAUAGGGCGGCACCUUGACGGUACCUAACCAGAAAGCCACGGCUAACUACGUGCCAGCAGCCGCGGUAAUACGUAGGUGGCAAGCGUUGUCCGGAAUUAUUGGGCGUAAAGCGCGCGCAGGCGGUUUCUUAAGUCUGAUGUGAAAGCCCCCGGCUCAACCGGGGAGGGUCAUUGGAAACUGGGGAACUUGAGUGCAGAAGAAGAGAGUGGAAUUCCACGUGUAGCGGUGAAUGCGUAGAGAUGUGGAGGAACCCAGUGGCGAAGCGACUCUCUGGUCUGUACUGACGCUGAGGCGCGAAACGUGGGAGCGAACAGGAUUAAUACCCGGUAGUCCCGCCGUAAAGAUGAUGCUAAUGUUAGAGGGUUCCGCCCUUUAUGCUGCAGCAACGCAUUAGCACUCCGCCUGGGAAUACGGCGCAGACUGAACUCAAGGAUUGACGGGGCCGCCAAGCGGGGAGCAGUGGUUAAUUCGAGCACGCGAAAACCUACCGGUCUGACAUCUCUGACACCC
RNAcentral lists this ribosomal RNA (903 nucleotides) under Bacillus sonorensis. RNAcentral's name for it is "bacterial SSU rRNA". It matches the Rfam family "Bacterial small subunit ribosomal RNA", at positions 79 to 998 of the family's 1533-position model. Lineage: Bacteria; Bacillati; Bacillota; Bacilli; Caryophanales; Bacillaceae. The record is from RNAcentral.